RNAcentral lists this non-coding RNA (139 nucleotides) under Chloroflexota bacterium. RNAcentral's name for it is "Chloroflexi bacterium FMN sequence". It matches the Rfam family "FMN riboswitch aptamer (RFN element)". Rfam says of the family: The RFN element is a highly conserved domain that is found frequently in the 5'-untranslated regions of prokaryotic mRNAs that encode for flavin mononucleotide (FMN) biosynthesis and transport proteins. The record is from RNAcentral. Lineage: Bacteria; Bacillati; Chloroflexota.
UAUUACCUUCAGGGCAGGGUGAGGAAGAAACCUUCCAAUUCCCGAUCGGUGGUCACAACCCACGAGCAGGCAAAUAACGCCAGCAUGAUUUGGUGAAAUUCCAGAGUCGACGGUACAGUCCGGAUAGAAGAAGGCUAAC